RNAcentral lists this ribosomal RNA (253 nucleotides) under uncultured bacterium. RNAcentral describes it as "partial 16S ribosomal RNA". It matches the Rfam family "Bacterial small subunit ribosomal RNA", at positions 524 to 776 of the family's 1533-position model. The record is from RNAcentral.
UACGUAGGGUGCAAGCGUUAAUCGGAAUUACUGGGCGUAAAGCGUGCGCAGGCGGUUCUAUAAGACAGAUGUGAAAUCCCCGGGCUCAACCUGGGAACUGCAUUUGUGACUGUAGAGCUGGAGUACGGCAGAGGGGGAUGGAAUUCCGCGUGUAGCAGUGAAAUGCGUAGAUAUGCGGAGGAACACCGAUGGCGAAGGCAAUCCCCUGGGCCUGUACUGACGCUCAUGCACGAAAGCGUGGGGAUCAAACGGG